GUGGGGAAUAUUGGACAAUGGGCGAAAGCCUGAUCCAGCCAUGCCGCGUGUGUGAAGAAGGUCUUCGGAUUGUAAAGCACUUUAAGUUGGGAGGAAGGGCAGUAAGUUAAUACCUUGCUGUUUUGACGUUACCGACAGAAUAAGCACCGGCUAACUUCGUGCCAGCAGCCGCGGUAAUACGAAGGGUGCAAGCGUUAAUCGGAAUUACUGGGCGUAAAGCGCGCGUAGGUGGUUUUGUAAGUUGGAGGUGAAAUCCCCGGGCUCAACCUGGGAACUGCCUCCAAAACUGCAUGACUAGAGUACGAUAGAGGGUAGUGGAAUUUCCUGUGUAGCGGUGAAAUGCGUAGAUAUAGGAAGGAACACCAGUGGCGAAGGCGACUACCUGGACUGAUACUGACACUGAGGUGCGAAAGCGUGGGGAGCAAACAGGAUUAGAUACCCUUGUAGUCC
This 450-nucleotide ribosomal RNA is filed under the name uncultured bacterium. RNAcentral's name for it is "partial 16S ribosomal RNA". It matches the Rfam family "Bacterial small subunit ribosomal RNA", at positions 354 to 796 of the family's 1533-position model. The record is from RNAcentral.